Molecule: ribosomal RNA, 510 nt
Filed under: Stefaniola sp. 5 JOS-2019
Lineage: Eukaryota; Metazoa; Arthropoda; Insecta; Diptera; Cecidomyiidae
Description: partial large subunit ribosomal RNA
Source: RNAcentral
AACCUGCCAAUUGAUAAUAAAUUAAAAGGCUGCAGUAUUUUGACUGUACUAAGGUAGCAUAAUAAUUAGAUUUAUAAAUUGAAUCUGGAAUGAAUGGUUUUAUGAAAUAAAUACUUUUUUAAUUUAAAUAAAUGAAUUUUUUUUUUUAGUUAAAAAACUAAAAUUAAUUUAAGGGACGAAAAGACCCUAUAGAAUUUUAUAUUAAAUUAUAUUUAUAUUAAUUUAUAAAUUAAUUAUAAAUAUAAUAUAUAUUUUGUUGGGGCGAUAAUUAAAUUUAAUAAACUUUAAUGAAAUUUUCAUUUAUUUUUGUAUUUUUGAUCUUUUUAUAUUGAUUAAAAAAUGUAAUUACCUUAGGGAUAACAGCAUAAUUUUAUUAAAAAGUUCUUAUUUUUAGUAAUGUUUAUGACCUCGAUGUUGAAUUAAAUAAAAUUAUUAUAUGAAGAUAUAUAAUAAAUAAUUCUGUUCGACUUUUAAUUAUUUACAUGAUUUGAGUUCAAACCGGUGUAAGCC